UGGAACUCUCUUGAAAGGGUCCAUAACAAUGAACUUAAAGGAAAACUCUACUGCUAUGCUCUCUCCCUUUAUCUCAUGUGGCACUACACCAUGACCUUUGCUUAUUACAGGAAGGAUUGAUGUAAAGGCAUGCUUUAAUCAACACCACAUGAGUUCAGCCGUUUCUUUGCAUAUUCAGAUGAGCAGGGAACCCGACUUCUCUGGCUCUCAAGAAGCAGGUGUGUGCUGGCAUCAUGUGAACAAAUCCCCACCACACCAAGGCCUUGGGCUUAUGCUGAUCGACUUUCCAGUGGUUUGGACAUCAGAAGCAAAAACAAUGACAGAGAAGAAUAGAGAGAUGAGUGACACUGGUCAG
Molecule: long non-coding RNA, 355 nt
Organism: Alosa alosa (allis shad)
Lineage: Eukaryota; Metazoa; Chordata; Actinopteri; Clupeiformes; Clupeidae
Exons: 3
Source: RefSeq, a predicted model, not a curated record